AGUGAACGCUGGCGGUAGGCCUAACACAUGCAAGUCGAACGGCAGCACAGUAAGAGCUUGCUCUUACGGGUGGCGAGUGGCGGACGGGUGAGGCAUACAUCGGAAUCUACUUUUUCGUGGGGGAUAACGUAGGGAAACUUACGCUAAUACCGCAUACGACCUACGGGUGAAAGCAGGGGAUCUUCGGACCUUGCGCGAUUGAAAGAGCCGAUGUCGGAUUAGCUAGUUGGCGGGGUAAAGGCCCACCAAGGCGACGAUACGUAGCUGGUCUGAGAGGAUGAUCAGCCACACUGGAACUGAGACACGGUCCAGACUCCUACGGGAGGCAGCAGUAGGGAAUAUUGGGCAAUGGGCGCAAGCCUGAUCCAGCCAUACCGCGUGGGUGAAGAAGGCCUUCGGGUUGUAAAGCCCUUUUGUUAGGAAAGAAAAUCAGCAGGUUAAUACCCCGCUGUUCUGACGGUACCCAAACAGUAAGCACCGGCUAACUUCGUG
Molecule: ribosomal RNA, 492 nt
Filed under: uncultured bacterium
Lineage: Bacteria
Description: partial 16S ribosomal RNA
Rfam family: Bacterial small subunit ribosomal RNA
Source: RNAcentral